AAAUUGAAGAGUUUGAUCAUGGCUCAGAUUGAACGCUGGCGGCAGGCCUAACACAUGCAAGUCGAACGGUAACAGGAAACAGCUUGCUGUUUC
Molecule: ribosomal RNA, 93 nt
Filed under: Escherichia coli
Lineage: Bacteria; Pseudomonadati; Pseudomonadota; Gammaproteobacteria; Enterobacterales; Enterobacteriaceae
Also listed under: 3 other names
Description: partial 16S ribosomal RNA
Rfam family: Bacterial small subunit ribosomal RNA
Source: RNAcentral